RNAcentral lists this ribosomal RNA (236 nucleotides) under uncultured Glomus. Its description in RNAcentral is "partial 18S ribosomal RNA". The stretch from base 47 to 236 matches the Rfam family "Eukaryotic small subunit ribosomal RNA", at positions 693 to 884 of the family's 1831-position model. The record is from RNAcentral. Lineage: Eukaryota; Fungi; Glomeromycota; Glomeromycetes; Glomerales; Glomeraceae.
GGAUCAAUUGAUUGGUCAUGCCAUUGGUAUGUACUGGUCAUAUUGGUUCUCACCUUCUAAGGAACCAUAAUGUCAUUAAUUUGAUGUUUUGGGGAAUUAGGACUGUUACCUUGAAAAAAUUAGAGUGUUUAAAGCAGGCUAACGCUUGAAUACAUUAGCAUGGAAUAAUGAAAUAGGACAUCGCAUUCUAUUUUGUUGGUUUCUAGGACCGAAGUAAUGAUUAAUAGGGAUAGUUG